Molecule: ribosomal RNA, 544 nt
Filed under: fungal sp.
Lineage: Eukaryota; Fungi
Description: eukaryotic LSU rRNA
Rfam family: 5.8S ribosomal RNA (bases 168-321)
Source: RNAcentral
GUGCUUUGAGUGGGUCUCCGGGGUCCGAACCUCCAACCCUCUGUGUAUCUUACCUCUGUUGCUUUGGCGGGCCUUUGCUCACGCAGCGUACCUCCGGGUGCGAGUGCCCGCCGGAGUCCAUCCAAAUUCUGUUUAUCGGUGACGUCUGAGUACUAUAUAAUAGUUAAAACUUUCAACAACGGAUCUCUUGGUUCUGGCAUCGAUGAAGAACGCAGCGAAAUGCGAUAAGUAAUGUGAAUUGCAGAAUUCAGUGAAUCAUCGAAUCUUUGAACGCACAUUGCGCCCUCUGGUAUUCCGGGGGGCAUGCCUGUUCGAGCGUCAUUACACCUCUCAAGCUCCGCUUGGUAUUGGGUCCUCGUCCCCCGGGACGUGCCCGAAAAGCAGUGGCGACGCAGCCUGACUUCAAGCGUAGUAAUUUUUCUCCCGCUUCAGAAGCUUUCAGGUUGUGUCCGCCAGACAAUCUUCUUGCGGCCCCGGCCGCAAGUACUUUCUAUGGUUGACCUCGGAUCAGGUAGGGAUACCCGCUGAACUUAAGCAUAUCAAA